Molecule: long non-coding RNA, 1157 nt
Organism: Chiloscyllium plagiosum (whitespotted bambooshark)
Lineage: Eukaryota; Metazoa; Chordata; Chondrichthyes; Orectolobiformes; Hemiscylliidae
Source: RefSeq, a predicted model, not a curated record
UGUGGGGAUUGGAAAUGAUUGCAAGUUCCAUGGUUUCCAUUUUUUAAGGUUCCCCGAGGACAGACUUCUCUCCAGGUGGCUGCUGGACAAUGAAGCUUUGCAGAAACAUGGCUCCUUAUGGGCCAUUCCCAACAACGAGGUGUGCCUGGCCAGAGCAUAGUCACAUGUGGACAGAACACACCAACUUCUGUCACCCAAUUCAGCGAGGAUUCUGUGACUCUGCGUCCCCGAAGAAAUCCUGUGCAGAGUGAAGGUUUGAACAAGCUGGUUUACGGACACAUGGGUGGGAUCGCUGUCUGAUUGGCUGAGCUGGCAUUGACUCAUACAUUCUUUGACCAGCUGUUGCACUUUGGAUUCUCUGCGGAGUGUGUUUAAAGUCUCUGGAAUUGGCUCGAGCUGACAAGCUAUUUUGGACACCAGCUGCCAGAGUUGUCUGGGCUCUGACGAGUGUGUGGAGAGAGACGGGUGAGGAUAAGGGAAGCCGCCUUGCUGGCCAAAUGUGGGUGUUUCUUUGGCAGUGUCUUAGCUGGUUGUUGUGUGCCAUGAGAAGAAGCAAUCAGCAAGUAUACUGCCGUAGAAAUGCUUCACUGAAUGCGGCCCUAUACACGCUCUUCCUCAGCUACUCCCCACUUCACUGUCAAAUUGCACCUUUUUGAGGUUUUGGGUAAAGUACUUUUUUUUGUUGUAAAAUAUUCUUUGAAGUAGCAGGUGGGAAUCAACUUUGAAAAAUAAAUAAUUGAAUGUGGAAUCCAGAAAUGUAAGUGCCAAAUGUGGGGUCAUCGUAUUGGGGUUUUAUUUACUUUAGUAAUGAGGAUGUUUAGUUAAUCUUUACAAGUUAAACUGUGUAUGAAUGUGCCUCCCCAUACACUUUCUCCUCCCCCCUCUCUCUCGGUGCUAUCAAGUCUCUUUCUCCUUUUGGGCUUUAUCCCAUCUGUAAACUGUGACCAUGCACAGCAGGAGGGAGUGUGGAUGUUGGGGAUUUGGUGAGAUAUAUCCUGAUCAAAAUCUGCCCUCAUCUUGUCGAUUUAAGGUUUGCUAAUGUUCAGAGAAUUUAAGACAUUGUUGCCAACACAAAUGUUCAUUUUACUGUGAGAGGGACAACGUUAAUAGAUUCCUAGCCCAUUGGUGAGAAUUAAACCAAGACAAAUAUAUAUUUA